Molecule: long non-coding RNA, 893 nt
Organism: Salvia splendens (bonfire salvia)
Lineage: Eukaryota; Viridiplantae; Streptophyta; Magnoliopsida; Lamiales; Lamiaceae
Exons: 3
Source: RefSeq, a predicted model, not a curated record
UCUCUCAUUUCACUUCGCAUUCUCAAAAUUCCCAAAUUGGGGAAGAAAAACUCUAGGUCCUUCUCCUCCCUUCCUCUCGGCGAAAACGCCGCUCCAGCUGGGUCACCGGAGCGCCACCGGCUCAAACUCCUCGGCGUCACCGGGUCGCCGGCGAAAUCCUCCGCCGUCGCCUUCUGCUGCUGCUCACACUUCCGUCGCUCCGUCCGGCUCUUCGUCGAGUUGCGGUUCCGCUCGCCGCUAUCUCAACCGGCGUCCUCUGGACGCACCGCCGAGGCGGCCACCGCCGUUUCCGUCAGGCGCUCCACAGGGCGGGUCGUCGUUGUCUCGCAGUCAACCCUGCUGCCGCCUCUGCGCCUAGCCGCUGCUGGUGUUACUCCGUCGGAAGAGAGGAGGGCAUCGCUUCUCUCCCCCCGCGCUACACAGCGGUGCAGCACCGCUGAGACCUCGAGACUCCGCCGUCGCCGGCAGCCGGUUCUAGUGUGCGGCACGUCGUUACUUCGUCCUCUGAUGACCGAAGUCAGUAGCUGCCGUAGCGGCGCCUCUCCGUUUUUCAACCGACUACCAAGCUCGUCUCCUCUAAUCUUAAGCUAAGCCCUCUAGUCAUCUAUCAUUUGGUGUUGAGUUCUUCUUGGGCAGUAGCAUGCUAUUUGAGAUUUCCAAGAUGUGGUGCUUCUACAUUAUGACAUUUUAAAUUGGGAGAAGGAUGAAGGGGCUGCCCUUGCAAGAAGCUUUCUGCUGGGAAGAACUUCACUCACUCACUCAAAACACUACACUUUCAAACUUGGUAUGUCGCUGGAAAAAAAAAUCGAAGUAUGUGGGAGGGGAAUUUGAUGGAGAAAAUCGGAUUUCUAGGCUAUUUGGCCUUUAAAAUUACGUAAAUGUACCCAUUUUGU